GCCCUGUUGUCAAUAUGGGCUCUCAAACAGGAUUAGCCUGUUAUCCCUAAGGUAGCUUUUUCUAUUAAUCAUAUAUUUGGAUCAAGAGUAAUUUUUAAGAGAGGUUUUAGUUUCUCUCUAGUUGCCCCAACUAAAUUUUCUUUAUAAUAAUUAUAGUUUAAAAUAAAGCUCUAUAGGGUCUUUUCGUCUUUUUAGGUAAUUCAAGUUUCUUCACUUGAAGAUCAAUUUUUAUGUAUAUAUAAGAGACAGUGUUGCACUCGUAGAUUCGUUCAUUCCAGCCAUCAAUUAAACGGCAAGUGAUUAUGC
Molecule: ribosomal RNA, 306 nt
Filed under: Pseudopolydora bassarginensis
Lineage: Eukaryota; Metazoa; Annelida; Polychaeta; Spionida; Spionidae
Description: partial 16S ribosomal RNA
Source: RNAcentral